AUGGAAUACCAGGAAAUCAAUGAAAGGAUGUAUCCAUGGAUCGGAACUGUUGGACUAAGUUUGAACUCCCUUUCAGUUCUAGACACUGACUCAUUUAUCAGACUCUUCCAUCGCAGAGGUGGCCUAUUGAGAUUGUCACUCUUUGGUUUUACCGUUACAUGUGGUUCCUUGGCUGGUAGUCAGAAUUGUAACAAGCCAAUGACACGGACCAGGAACACCAUAUGGGGCUCCAGUGAACAGCCCAAAUGCACUUGCUCCGGCUUCAUCAACACCCACUACUGAACACGUAGCAAGUGGCGCGUGAUUUUCAUCCAUGUCUCAUCUCUCUAUUCACUAUUCUGUGUAGAUCCAUGUUUCGGUAAGUGUGCCAUUAUGUGCAUCAGUGAUCACCUCUGUGUGGCCUUUUUGCUGGUGAAUUAGAAUAAGCAAAAGGUCACAACGGGUUUCCCUCCCAAUAUUGCUCGCUCCAAAUGAAGUGCUCGAUGAGAGCAAUUAUGGAUAUUUUCAAUCGGCUCUCACUUUUGAGUCUGUGAAUACAGUAAAAAAUAAGAAUCAACAGGGCUUGUGCAUGGCUUUACUGUGGGCAAUACAUAUUCAUUAAAAAAAUGACAUACCUAAUGUAAUGUGGUAUUCUAAAAGGAAUAGUAUUGUCGCUUCAGUUUCUUUCUUUCUUUCUUUCUUUCUUUCUUUCUUUCUUUCUUUCUUUCUUUCUUUCUUUCUUUCUUUCUUUCUUUCUUUUUCUGAUUUCUUUUUAUUUCUGUAUUUCUAAGAUAUUUUAAAAAAUAUCAGUUUGUUUGUCCAUACAAUGAAAGUCAAAAAGUUCCAAUGUUGUUUUGGACCCCAGUGACUUUAUUGUGCAACUGAAACAUUGUGAAAUAUUAUUACAAUUUAAAAUAAUAGUUUUCUAUUUUAAUAUAGUUAAAAAAAUCCUACCUAGGUACUAAAAAUCCUUCAGAAAUCAUUGGAA
Molecule: long non-coding RNA, 967 nt
Organism: Cyprinus carpio carpio
Lineage: Eukaryota; Metazoa; Chordata; Actinopteri; Cypriniformes; Cyprinidae
Source: Ensembl